GAAGAAUGACCACCUUAUCUCACAAUAAAAUUGUUUUUUUCUGAUUUCAAGAAAUAGUUAUGUCCCAAACUACCUCUAAUGAAUCGACAAGAUAAUCCAAUGGCUCAAUUAACACACGAGGAGAGUUAAAAUGACAGCAGCACUUUGAAACAUUAAACAACAUAGUGGGUUUCACUUUUCAGAUCACUUAUCCAGGCAGAAUGGAGUGUCAAUUUGAUCUCGAGGUACAAGAGACUUAAGUUGAUUUAAUUUGCAAGGUAGAUCCGCUGGGUCUCAAUGAAACGUUAGCUAUUCAGUCAUGAGUUCAUAUAAAGCUAAUUGAGAUUAACGACAACUAAGCAUAGACGAAAAAAACCAACAAUCAAACUAGCCGAGCAAACGAAUCAGCAAUUCAAACAUCCUCUACUAAGUAAAUACGUCACUUAGUCACAUUGAACUUGAAUAUCAAAGCAAAUAGAAAGGAAAGAAAAAUGGACCUAAAAAUUAGAGCUUCGAUUGACUGAGAUUUUCAGCAAUUACAGAAGCAAGGUGAGCCAACUGCUAAAGCUGAAAUUUGAAAUGGACGAAACUCAAACGAAACAACUUCGAACAACACCUCAGCUCAAUCAGCCUUCAUAUUUGAAACCCAAAUCAACUAAGAAGUAGAAACUUAAAAUAUUUUAGCAUUUUUUCUGUUAAAAUUUCAAACAUCAAUCAUCUUAAAGAGAGAAGCAUCAUUUCGUAUGUUUCUGCUUCUUCUGAAAUUUCCAAAGAGACGAAGGAAUCAAAAGGAAGUUCCAAAAAUCCUCAAAGUAUUCUUUUGUCCUCUCGUUCUCUGUCUGUUGUUCUUUGUUCCCCCUUUUAUCUGUUGUUUUCUUUUGUGUUUGCCGUCUUUUCGUCCUUUUUGAGUGUGAGAUUCGGAGAUGGGGCAACUACUCUCAGGAGUAGGGGAGAUGGGCGUGGCUGCUUAGGUUUUUAGGGAGGUGGAUUCGUUCUUUCUGUGUUUUAGAGAAAGAGAGGUGCAAUUCUCGUUUAUUUUUGGGGGGGGGGGGGUGAUGGAAACGCCGCUCAGGUCUUUGGUAGUGAGGGAUCUGAUUGUUGAAUUUGGAGAAAUGAAAAAGAAUAUGACAGGGAGCCCUAGGUGUUGUGCCAAUUCUCUCUUAGGGAAUCUCCGCGAUCUGAUCUAAAAUGUAGCCUAAAUUCUCUAUAUAGGUCUAAGUCUAGGUUUUAAUUGAAAAAGGAUGAGUUUUGGGCUGAUGGGUUCAAGUGUAUUUGAGCUUGGAUCUGGGUUAGCUUUGGGGAAGAAUUGAGCUAAUUUGGUACAAAGAAUUAACCCAAAUUCAUAUUAAAACCCCCUUUUUAAUUACCUCUUUUAUUCCUUUUUCCUUUGUUCUUCUUUCUAUUCUUCUUUAAUUAAAAAUUCUAAAUUAAUCUAAAUUGUAAAACUAACUAAUUAUCUAAUUAUAAUAAUUAUAAAAAUUACUUGAUCCUAAAUCAAAAGAGAAAAAUCGAUAAUCAAAAAAUUAAAAGGUAAAAAUGUAAAAUGAGCUAUUUUUGUGAUUUUCAUUUUGUUAAAGAAAAUAAUUAACUAAUUAAUCCUAAAAAUAUAAAAACAAACAUAAAUCCAAUGCAUGGUAUUUUUUGGCAUUUUCAUGAUUUUAAUAAGAAUUAAACAUGCACAAAAAUGCAAACAAUUAAUAAAAAUCCUACAAAAUCCUAUAAAAUGGUAAAUAAUUGGAAAAAAUCUAUUUUCUUUGAUUUUAUAGGAGCAAUUUAUAUAGGACAAAAAUCACGUGCUCGCAGCUGCCCAUCUUUGCUCGGAAACAUGAAGGGUUUUUCGGGCAAAGGUAAAAUGAGCAAUUAUGAGCGAUUUUUGCCCGUUUGAAACUCCAUGAGAAACAUCUUUUGAAAAAGGUCUGAUCGAACCUGCUUUGGAGGUUGCCUACAUAUCCUUGGCUAUAAAGGAAACAGGUCAGUGUAGUUCUGAAAGUUUUGGUAGCUGGGACUAUCGAGAAACUGUGAUUUCACCGCUGUUGCUGCUGUUUCUGUUUGCUAAGCUCCUUAUUACACCAAAAUCAAAAAAUGAAAAGCUAAACUAGCUAAGCCUAUCAACUACGAGUUACAAGAUUCAUAUCUAUAAAUAUUCUAAAGCUUGAUCUUGAGUCUUGGAUGGUCCUUUCUGCAUACUCUGAUAUGAAUCCUGCUUCUCAUCAGCUGCCAUCGCUGGUUCAUUCUUCUUCAGCUUUCGGAUCAAGGCAGGACAUGUGAAACUUUUGACUUCAAUCAAAUUUUGAGUAGUCUGCAUCUUUUCUCCGCUUCUACACCUCAAGUUCAACUUCUUUUCUUGUUUCUUCUUUUCUUUUAUUUGGGUUGAGACUCCUUUUUUGGUCAUCUCAAUCUUGUUCCUCACAGUGAAAACCUGUUCCGACACCAAAGCAAACAAACGAACGAAAUUUUUCUGCCCCAGUUUUCACUAGGAAAAAUUUCGUGAGUUAUUGUAACAAAAAUCUAAACUAUUUCUUUAUUUGAAGGCAAAUAAAAUAAGGAUUGUGUAUCCUUGGUAAAAAGAGAUUAGGGAGUGGAGCCCUAUAUCUAUACUAAAUCAACUAGGGAGUGAAGACCCUAAGUUGGAAAGGCGACUAUGGAGUGGAGACCCUAUGUCUAAAAUAAACUCAACUAGGGAGUGGAGACCCUAUGUUGGAAAAGCGACUAGGGAGUGGAGACCCUAUGUCUAAAAUAAAAUCAAAUAGGGAAUGGAGACCUUGUGUUGGAAAAGCAGACUAGGGAGUGAAGACCCUAUGCCUAAAAAUAAAAUCAACUAGGGAGUAGAGACCCUAUACUAGAAAAGAAGACUAGGGAGUGGAGACCCUAUACCUAAAAAUAAAAUCAACUAGGGAGUGGACACCCUAUGUUGGAAAAAUGACUAGGGAGUGAAGACCCUAUGUCUAAAAUAAAAUCAACUAGGGAGUGGAGACCCUAUGUUGGAAAAAACAUAAUUAGAGAUUGGGGACCCUAAGCUACCAUUUUUUGAAUUUUUUUCUUUUGUUUUUAUUUUUUUCUUCAUUUUUCUCCUUUUUCACUUUUUUUUUAUUUCAUAGAAUGAGUAAAUGUGGGAAAGAAUUUUGGAGGGGACUUCCUUUUAUGGAUUUGUUGCUACAAAGCUGUUUCUAGCCCUUGCGCAGUUUCUCUUUGGUUGCACCUGCUUCUUGCAAGGUUACUUUAGAUUGCACCUGUUUCAUGUUUUCAAACAAAGAACAAUUGUUAGUUUGAAACGGUGGUUGGUUUUGUGGCUUUGAUUAUUUCAAUCACUUCAUCUCGGUCUAGUUUCUUUGAUGAAGAUCUCAAUUACAACUGUUUGUUCCCUAAAGACCGAUUUCAUUUC
Molecule: long non-coding RNA, 3361 nt
Filed under: Nicotiana tabacum (common tobacco)
Lineage: Eukaryota; Viridiplantae; Streptophyta; Magnoliopsida; Solanales; Solanaceae
Description: long non-coding RNA (NTAB_LNC014600)
Source: RNAcentral